GACGAACGCUGGCGGCGUGCUUAACACAUGCAAGUCGAACGGAAAGGCCCUGCUUUUUUGGGGUGCUCGAGUUGCGAACGGGUGAGUAACACGUGAGUAACCUGCCCUUGACUUUGGGAUAACUUCAGGAAACUGGGGCUAAUACCGGAUAGGAGCUCCUGCUGCAUGGUGGGGGUUGGAAAGUUUCGGUGGUUGGGGAUGGACUCGCGGCUUAUCAGCUUGUUGGUGGGGUAGUGGCUUACCAAGGCUUUGACGGGUAGCCGGCCUGAGAGGGUGACCGGCCACACUGGGACUGAGAUAAGGCCCAGACUCCUACGGGAGGCAGCAGUGGGGAAUAUAGCACAAUGGGCGGAAGCCUGAUGCAGCAAAGCAGCGUGCGGGAUGACGGCAUUCGGGUUGUAAACCGAUUUCGCCUGUGACGAAGCGUGAGUGACGGUAAUGGGUAAAGAAGCACCGGCUAACUACGUG
Molecule: ribosomal RNA, 468 nt
Filed under: uncultured bacterium
Lineage: Bacteria
Description: partial 16S ribosomal RNA
Rfam family: Bacterial small subunit ribosomal RNA
Source: RNAcentral